Molecule: ribosomal RNA, 253 nt
Filed under: uncultured Rikenellaceae bacterium
Lineage: Bacteria; Pseudomonadati; Bacteroidota; Bacteroidia; Bacteroidales; Rikenellaceae
Description: partial 16S ribosomal RNA
Rfam family: Bacterial small subunit ribosomal RNA
Source: RNAcentral
UACGGAGGAUUCAAGCGUUAUCCGGAUUUAUUGGGUUUAAAGGGUGCGUAGGCGGUUUGAUAAGUUAGAGGUGAAAUGUCGGGGCUCAACCCCGAAACUGCCUCUAAUACUGUUGGACUAGAGAAUAGUUGCGGUAGGCGGAAUGUAUGGUGUAGCGGUGAAAUGCAUAGAUAUCACGCAGAACUCCGAUUGCGAAGGCAGCUUACCGGCGCUCAACUGACGCUGAGGCACGAAAGUGCGGGUAUCGAACAGG